UACGGAGGGUGCAAGCGUUAUCCGGAUUCACUGGGUUUAAAGGGUGCGUAGGAGGGCAGGUAAGUCAGUGGUGAAAUCUCCAAGCUUAACUUGGAAACUGCCGUUGAUACUAUCUGUCUUGAAUACCGUGGAGGUGAGCGGAAUAUGUCAUGUAGCGGUGAAAUGCUUAGAUAUGACAUAGAACACCAAUUGCGAAGGCAGCUCACUACACGAAUAUUGACUCUGAGGCACGAAAGCGUGGGGAUCAAACAGG
RNAcentral lists this ribosomal RNA (253 nucleotides) under uncultured bacterium. RNAcentral describes it as "partial 16S ribosomal RNA". It matches the Rfam family "Bacterial small subunit ribosomal RNA", at positions 524 to 776 of the family's 1533-position model. RNAcentral also lists the same sequence under 1 other name. The record is from RNAcentral.